UAUGAAUCAAUAAUAUUAAUAUAAAAUUUUAUUCGAAAAACUCAGCACUAAAUGCAUAAACAAAAAAACAAACAAACCCUAAACCCUAUAAUCCUAAGCAUUAUUCUAAACCAAACCUUAAACCCAAUCUAAACCAAACGCUAAACCUUUUCUACUACCUAAACACUAAAUCCUACCUAACCCUAAACCCUACCUAAAUCUAGACCUUAACCCUAUCUAACCCUAAACCCUACAUAAACCUACCCUAAUCCCUAAACCUUAAACCUAUCUAACCCUAAACCUACCUAACCCUAAACGUAAACCCCACCUAACCCUAAACCCUAUUUAACCCUAAACUCUACCUAACCCUAAACCCUUCCUAACCCUAAAACCCUACCUCAAAACCUAACCCUACCUAACCCUAACCCUAAACCUUACCUGACCCUAACCCUAAACCCUACUAAACCUAAACCCUACUUAACCCUGACCCUACAUAACCCUAAACCCAACUAACCCUACCUAACCUAAAACCUUUCUAACAUUAAACCCUACUAACCUUAAACCCUACUAACCCUAAAUUCUGCCUAACCCUAAACCCUGCCUAACCCUAAACCCUACCUAACCCUAAACCCUUCCUAACCCUAAACUCUUUCUAACCCUAAACCCUACCUAACCCUAAACCCCUUCUAACCCUAAACCUGAUCUAACCCUAAACCCUGCCUAACCCUAAACCCUACCUAACCCUAAACCCUUUCUAGCCCUAAAUCCUACUAACCCUAAACCCUACUAACCCUAAACCCUUUCUAACCCUAAACCAUGCUAACUCUAAACCCUACCUAAUCCUAAACCCUACCUAACCCUAACCCUACAUAAUCCUAAACCCUACUAACCCUAAACCCUGCCUAACCUAAACCCUACCUAAUCCUAAAACCUUUCUAACCCUAAACCCUUUCUAGCCCUAAACCCUAUAUAACCCUAAACCCUACUAACCCUAAACCCUACUAACCCUAAACCCAACCCUACCUAAUUCUAAACCCUACCUAACCCUAAACCCUAUGUAACCCUAAACCCUACCUAACCCUAAACCCUACCUAGCCCUAAACCCUACCAACCCUAAACCUACCUAACCCUAAACCCUACCUAGCCCUAAACCCUACCUAACCU
This 1143-nucleotide long non-coding RNA is filed under the name Brassica napus (rape). RNAcentral describes it as "long non-coding RNA (BNAP_LNC003726)". The record is from RNAcentral. Lineage: Eukaryota; Viridiplantae; Streptophyta; Magnoliopsida; Brassicales; Brassicaceae.